UACGGAGGGUGCAAGCGUUAUCCGGAUUCACUGGGUUUAAAGGGUGCGUAGGUGGGUUGGUAAGUCAGUGGUGAAAUCUCCAGGCUUAACUUGGAAACUGCCAUUGAUACUAUCAAUCUUGAAUACCGUGGAGGUCAGCGGAAUAUGUCAUGUAGCGGUGAAAUGCUUAGAUAUGUAAUAGAACACCGAUUGCGAAGGCAGUUCACUAAGGUUGUAUUGACACUGAGGCACGAAAGCGUGGGGAUCAAACAGG
RNAcentral lists this ribosomal RNA (253 nucleotides) under uncultured bacterium. RNAcentral's name for it is "partial 16S ribosomal RNA". It matches the Rfam family "Bacterial small subunit ribosomal RNA", at positions 524 to 776 of the family's 1533-position model. The record is from RNAcentral.